GAUGAACGCUGACAGAAUGCUUAACACAUGCAAGUCGACUUGAAGCAACUUCGGUUGUGGAAAGUGGCGGACGGGUGAGUAACGCGUAAAGAACUUACCCUUCAGUCUGGGACAACCAUUGGAAACGAUGGCUAAUACCGGAUAUUAUGGAACUCUCGCAUGGGAGGAUCAUGAAAGCUAUAUGCGCUGAAGGAGAGCUUUGCGUUCCAUUAGCUAGUUGGUGAGGUAACGGCUCACCAAGGCGACGAUGGAUAGCCGGCCUGAGAGGGUGAUCGGCCACAAGGGGACUGAGACACGGCCCUUACUCCUACGGGAGGCAGCAGUGGGGAAUAUUGGACAAUGGACCAAAAGUCUGAUCCAGCAAUUCUGUGUGCACGAUGAAGGUUUUCGGAUCGUAAAGUGCUUUCAGUUGGGAAGAAGAAAGUGACGGUACCAACAGAAGAAGCGACGGCUAAAUACGUGCCAGCAGCCGCGGUAAUACGUAUGUCGCAAGCGUUAUCCGGAUUUAUUGGGCGUAAAGCGCGUCUAGGCGGGUUCAUAAGUCUGAUGUUAAAAUGCGGGGCUCAACUCCGUAUUGCGUUGGAAACUGUGAACCUAGAGUAUCAGAGAGGUGGGCGGAACUACAAGUGUAGAGGUGAAAUUCGUAGAUAUUUGUAGGAAUGCCGAUGGAGAAGUCAGCUCACUGGAUGAAUACUGACGCUAAAGCGCGAAAGCGUGGGUAGCAAACAGG
This 730-nucleotide ribosomal RNA is filed under the name uncultured bacterium. RNAcentral describes it as "bacterial SSU rRNA". It matches the Rfam family "Bacterial small subunit ribosomal RNA", at positions 28 to 776 of the family's 1533-position model. The record is from RNAcentral.